CAGCCGCCGCGGUAAUACGAAGGGGGCUAGCGUUGUUCGGAAUUACUGGGCGUAAAGGGCGCGUAGGCGGUGUGUCAAGUCAGGCGUGAAAGCCCCGGGCUCAACCUGGGAACAGCGCUUGAGACUGGCACGCUCGAGUUCGGGAGAGGAUGGUGGAAUUCCCAGUGUAGAGGUGAAAUUCGUAGAUAUUGGGAAGAACACCGAUGGCGAAGGCAGCCAUCUGGACCGACACUGACGCUGAGGCGCGAAAGCGUGGGGAGCAAACAGGAUUAGAUACCCUGGUAGUCCACGCCGUAAACGAUGAGUGCUAGACGUUGGGGUCCUUAGGACUUCGGUGUCGCAGCUAACGCACUAAGCACUCCGCCUGGGGAGUACGGCCGCAAGGUUAAAACUCAAAGGAAUUGACGG
Molecule: ribosomal RNA, 408 nt
Filed under: uncultured soil bacterium
Lineage: Bacteria
Description: bacterial SSU rRNA
Rfam family: Bacterial small subunit ribosomal RNA
Source: RNAcentral